CUUGAUUUUGUGGAAUGCUGAACCAUUCAGAUAACAGAUUUCUCUUUUACUAGAUUAUUAAACUACCAUGGUAUUCAGAUGAGCAGAAGACGUACGAGACAUGUCUCCAGCUCUCACCUGAAUUUCUUGCUUAUUCAAACAUUACUGAGAAGAAUGGAGAUUCAGACAAGAUAAAAAUAUCUGGACCACAAGAUGAUGGAUUCAGAAGUUCAUGUCUACAUCCAGGCACUCACUCAAAAUGCUCCUUAGCAUCUUUUCAAGGGCAACCUUUGACCUCUUGGAGAGAUCCUGACACCCAUAAGGGAAGUAUUCCCACUGUUGUAAAGGAAGUGGGAAAGCAGUUUAAUGCUGUGAAAGGAAGGGAAGAGUGUGUGUCAAAAGAAACUGGGAGGAAAAGAGAAGAGAAGAGUUUAAAAUGUUUCCAGCAGGCCGAGGAGGCAAUGGAUGAGUUUAAAUUAAAAGUGAAGGAUCAAAAGAA
Non-coding RNA from Chrysemys picta bellii (western painted turtle), 478 nucleotides. Lineage: Eukaryota; Metazoa; Chordata; Testudines; Emydidae. The record is from RefSeq and is a predicted model, not a curated record.